Equus caballus (horse) is the source of this 1463-nucleotide long non-coding RNA. The record is from Ensembl. Lineage: Eukaryota; Metazoa; Chordata; Mammalia; Perissodactyla; Equidae.
UGUGGACACGGCUCAAUGGAAGUCAUGAAAAAAUUGUAAAUAAGAGCUGAGACUUUUUGACAAAUCUCCAAGUUGGACGAAUUCUUCAUCACUGUUGUCCGUUCUUCCCCCAGAAGAGGCAAGCACGGGCUGUGCAGGGAAUAGAAACCAUGACUAAGGGAAAGACCUUCUCACAUGAAAUCAGAGGAUCAUAGACUUAAAAAUGAGGAACUGAGGCUUGUUGAAACUUCACUUGGUUCAGGAUUGUACCUAAGGUCAAAGAAAGAGCCUAGAAGAAAUUGAAGAAACCUCUGGGUGAGAACUGGGCGGGUACGAGGCACAGAUCCUAUGGCCCAACCCAGUGGUCUACUUCUCAGGACCUCACUCUGAAGGAAGAGUCUCACUGUCUACUUUCAAGCCUACCCAGCUUCAAAGACCACCAGUUCAACUGCCAUUUCUUCCAUGAAGCCUUCCUGAUUGCCCCCAUCUGGAAUUGACCUCCUAACGCCCUGCUCCACUUGAAUGCUCUUUAUUGGCACCUCUCUCAUUGUCUCUUUGCUUGGAAUUAGAUUUUUACCUGUCUUCACCUCCCCUAUGAGACUAAGCUUGUUGAAGACAAGGACUGCAUCUUAUUCGCCUUCUAUUUCCCAAAAGUCUGUCACAGUGAUCCUCUGCCACUUAAUUUGACAUUGAACAAACCCUUUCACCUCUUUGAGCCUUGGUUUCUUCUAUUGUAAAAUAGGGAUGAUAAUAGCCCUUACCUCACAAUUUUUUGUGAAGACUGAAACACACACAUACGUAAUUUAUUGAGCAUACACUAUGUGUGUCAGAGAUGUGACAUGCCUUUCAAAGGGCAAAUACCUAGUGCUGGCAGACCUGGACUCAAAUAUCGUCUUCUAAAUAGACUAUGCUCCUAACCAGUGUUCCACACUGCCUCCCACAUAAGAGAGGGACACAGCCAGACAGCGCCCAGCACACAGUAGGAGCACAGUGACUGUUGCGAAAUGCUUGACUCUGUUGAACUGAAUCAAACACCUCUUUGACUUCACUUUCCCCUGGACUGUGGUUUGCCCGUCUCCAGUUUAUCCUGCCUGUGUCAUCAGACCACGUGACACACACACCCCCUGGGGGCCCACUUAAUUCUUGCUGACUUGGAAUGUGUCUUCCCAGCACUCCUGUAAACUGGGAGGAGGCUUUGGGCUGUAAAUCUUGGAUCUGGGACAGCCCAAAGGUCUUUGUUUGCACUAACCCAGACAACAGCUGGAACUCCAACCAAAGGAGACGCUGCCUGGUGGGGGAGGGGGAAUGUGUGAGCCUUCCCAUCCUCCCCACACAGAGGAGUCCAAGGUCCAAGGCUGCAGGUCUCCUGUGUUGAACAUACUCCUCACCCUUUGGUUGCGAAGGAAUUUGUGGUGAUAAAACCAGUUCUUCAUUGCGAGCCCCCUCACCUCAUAACAGCCUUACGGCUGGAUAUUUGGGAAAAG